This is a long non-coding RNA of Clarias gariepinus (North African catfish), 511 nucleotides long. RefSeq lists it as uncharacterized. The record is from RefSeq and is a predicted model, not a curated record. NCBI's taxonomy places the organism in Eukaryota, Metazoa, Chordata, Actinopteri, Siluriformes, Clariidae. The transcript has 4 exons.
CCCCAUCAUCAUCAUCAUCAUCAUCAUUACUAUCUCCACCAUUAUUAUACACACCAUUACCACCACAUUCAUCAUCAUCACCAACAUCACUGUCAUUUUCAUCCUCCUCCUCCUUCUCCUCCUCUUCAUCAUCAUCAUUAUCUAACUCUACCCAAGAUUCUCAGCCAGCAGAAUUUCCAGCUUCCACUGUGAUCACUGUGUCUGUAAUUAUUCUGCUGCUUUUGAUUGUUUUUACAAUCCUCACUUUGAUUCUACUAAAGAGGCGCAGGUUGCAAGCAGGUGGAGCUUCUACUGACCAGUGUCCUGUUUAAACCUUAAGAGAUUACCAAGAGUUCAUCUUGCUACCAUUUGAGUAUAAGGAGAUUGCAGACACCAGAGAACUUUCUCCAUCAGAUGCUGGAUCUUCUGCAGUUUACUGUUCGUCUACCACCUAUCCCCCUCUGACCCUUUUUCAAGACACCACAGUGUUACCCACAAUCCCCUGUGACUCUACUGUUUAUUCUAAUGCUCA